Long non-coding RNA from Sphaeramia orbicularis (orbiculate cardinalfish), 988 nucleotides. RefSeq lists it as uncharacterized. The transcript has 2 exons. The record is from RefSeq and is a predicted model, not a curated record. Lineage: Eukaryota; Metazoa; Chordata; Actinopteri; Kurtiformes; Apogonidae.
UUGUGCAACCUCUAAAUAAGAAUUAAUUUGCAUAAAAUUUGGACCGAAGUAAUUUGGCCAGAUAUGGAACCAAAUGCAGGGUUCUAAUCCAGAGAAUCUUAAAAAAAAAUUUUGGACCACCCUAUUUUACAUAUAAAACACUGUGAUACUGUGAGACUUUGAUAUGUAGGCAUCAUGGAUAUCUCAUACCAUUGGAAGUAAACAUGUAAUGCUAAUGCUAAUAUGAUCAGGCUGAUUAACUCAGUAUGCUGCCAGUGAAGUUUAGGGUGAAUGACUGAAAACAAGUUGGUUUUCUUUUAAAAGUACCAAAACUUUAUGGUUCGAAACAACCAAGAACAGCUUUGUAGAGUGUCCCAGCAGAUGAUCCAACUGAAAACUAACCUGUGUUAAAGUCCAUAAAAUGUAUUUGACUUCCCCCACCAACCCAUGGAACCCACCCCCCUUCCCUUUGUGGGUUUAUAAAUACAACCCUGAACUCAUUGAGUCGGAGCGUUUCAGCAAUAAAACGCUGAAAAACACAUGGGUAGUGCCUUGGAGUUUUUGUUUGUAAUGAACUGGAGGUUCAUUACAACUAAGGAUCGUAAUUAUUAAUAAACAGUGCCUCCUAAUUAACGCCACCAAGGCUUUCAGGUGCAAAAAAACUGUAGAUUUAAAACAGUUUCCAUUAUCAGGUCUUAAACAAUAUUGGUGUCUUCAGCCUCAGAAUCCAUGUAUUUGCUCACAUUUCCAGACCGUUGUGCUUGGUUCUGUUCUCUUGAACUGACUUUGGACCAUCGUGACCGCACUAAACGACGUUAGUUUUAUACCGAUACUGUUUAGAUACCGUUUCUACUGCCCAGUUCUUCUGUAAAUACCUGUAGAUAUCCACCAGAACCUGAUUGUUUUCUAACAGUCACCGCUCUUUUGUACAGAAUUGAUUUUUUUUUUUAUGUUGCUGUAACACUUUGUACUGUUGGUUUUUUUUAUGUAAAUAAAGGAAGUGGAAGUA